Molecule: ribosomal RNA, 700 nt
Filed under: Salmonella enterica subsp. enterica serovar Typhimurium
Lineage: Bacteria; Pseudomonadati; Pseudomonadota; Gammaproteobacteria; Enterobacterales; Enterobacteriaceae
Description: partial 23S ribosomal RNA
Rfam family: Bacterial large subunit ribosomal RNA
Source: RNAcentral
AUAGGUGGGAGGCUUUGAAGUGUGGACGCCAGUCUGCAUGGAGCCGACCUUGAAAUACCACCCUUUAAUGUUUGAUGUUCUAACGUGGACCCGUAAUCCGGGUUGCGGACAGUGUCUGGUGGGUAGUUUGACUGGGGCGGUCUCCUCCUAAAGAGUAACGGAGGAGCACGAAGGUUGGCUAAUCCUGGUCGGACAUCAGGAGGUUAGUGCAAUGGCAUAAGCCAGCUUGACUGCGAGCGUGACGGCGCGAGCAGGUGCGAAAGCAGGUCAUAGUGAUCCGGUGGUUCUGAAUGGAAGGGCCAUCGCUCAACGGAUAAAAGGUACUCCGGGGAUAACAGGCUGAUACCGCCCAAGAGUUCAUAUCGACGGCGGUGUUUGGCACCUCGAUGUCGGCUCAUCACAUCCUGGGGCUGAAGUAGGUCCCAAGGGUAUGGCUGUUCGCCAUUUAAAGUGGUACGCGAGCUGGGUUUAGAACGUCGUGAGACAGUUCGGUCCCUAUCUGCCGUGGGCGCUGGAGAACUGAGGGGGGCUGCUCCUAGUACGAGAGGACCGGAGUGGACGCAUCACUGGUGUUCGGGUUGUCAUGCCAAUGGCACUGCCCGGUAGCUAAAUGCGGAAGAGAUAAGUGCUGAAAGCAUCUAAGCACGAAACUUGCCCCGAGAUGAGUUCUCCCUGAGACUUAGAGUCUCCUGAAGGAACG